This 420-nucleotide ribosomal RNA is filed under the name Fusobacteriota bacterium. Its description in RNAcentral is "Fusobacteria bacterium partial 16S ribosomal RNA". It matches the Rfam family "Bacterial small subunit ribosomal RNA", at positions 355 to 776 of the family's 1533-position model. The record is from RNAcentral. Lineage: Bacteria; Fusobacteriati; Fusobacteriota.
UGGGGGAUAUUGCACAAUGGGCGAAAGCCUGAUGCAGCGACGCCGCGUGGGGGAUGAAGGCCGUCGGGUUGUAAACUUCUUUUGCUCUGAACAAGGCAUGCCUUUGGGGUGUGUUGAGUGUAGGGGUUGAUUAGCGCCGGCUAACUACGUGCCAGCAGCCGCGGUAAUACGUAGGGCGCGAGCGUUGUCCGGAAUUAUUGGGCGUAAAGGGCUUGUAGGUGGCUGGUUGCGUCUGUCGUGAAAGCUCAUGGCUUAACUGUGGGUUUGCGGUGGGUACGGGCUGGCUUGAGUGCAGUAGGGGAGGCUGGAAUUCCUGGUGUAGCGGUGGAAUGCGCAGAUAUCAGGAGGAAUACCGGUGGCGAAGGCGGGUCUCUGGGCUGUUACUGACGCUGAGGAGCGAAAGCGUGGGGAGCGAACAGG